Molecule: ribosomal RNA, 529 nt
Filed under: uncultured bacterium
Lineage: Bacteria
Description: bacterial SSU rRNA
Rfam family: Bacterial small subunit ribosomal RNA
Source: RNAcentral
AAUAGAUACCCAGGUAGUCCACGCCCUAAACGAUGUCAACUAGCUGUUGGGGUCUUCGGGACCUUGGUAGCGCAGCUAACGCGUGAAGUUGACCGCCUGGGAAGUACGGUCGCAAGAUUAAAACUCAAAGGAAUUGACGGGGACCCGCACAAGCGGUGGAUGAUGUGGAUUAAUUCGAUGCAACGCGAAAAACCUUACCUACCCUUGACAUGUCUGGAAUCCCGAAGAGAUUUGGGAGUGCUCGCAAGAGAACCGGAACACAGGUGCUGCAUGGCUGUCGUCAGCUCGUGUCGUGAGAUGUUGGGUUAAGUCCCGCAACGAGCGCAACCCUUGUCAUUAGUUGCUACGAAAGGGCACUCUAAUGAGACUGCCGGUGACAAACCGGAGGAAGGUGGGGAUGACGUCAAGUCCUCAUGGCCCUUAUGGGUAGGGCUUCACACGUCAUACAAUGGUCGGGACAGAGGGUCGCCAACCCGCGAGGGGGAGCCAAUCCCAGAAACCCGAUCGUAGUCCGGAUCGCAGUCUGCAA